AGGAGUGAGACUCUAUCUCAAAACAAACAAACAACAAAAGUAUUUAUUGAAUGAAUGAAUGGAGUUGGUAUAAAUAAUGGACAGCUAACUAUAAAAGAUUCAAAUAAUAAGUAUAUUUUACUUCAGCAUAAAAUGUCAGCAUUUUCUUAAGCUGUAAUCUCAGUGUUCAUUUUAUUUUAAUAAACAAUUCAUAUCCUAUUCUCACAGCUGUCUUACGCAGUGUCCUCCAUUAAUGCCAGAGUGAUUUGAGACAGUACUUGAUUCUGGGUGUGAGAACCAGUCAUUGCUUCAUUCUGAAAAUAACUAACAGAUUCUAAUUAGAAGACUAGAUUCUCUGCAACUCCUAAUACUUUCUGUAAUUCCUCUGAUAUAUAUUUAAAAUGUUUCAACUAUGAGAGGCUGACAAGACAUUCACUUAAAGUGGUGAAAUACAUAAACCUUUAAAAUGACUAGACUGAGCCUUGAAGUGAAAUCUAUUUUCUGCCCUAAGUGUUUCCAUUGUGUACAAUUCCCUCGGAAUGGUAGGCAGCUGCCAUUUAGAACUCUGUGAUGAAUAAAGAAAAAUCUAUAUGGAAACAGAAAUACUAUAGAAAUAUUAUACUCUCCAGGCAAAGAAAAGUGGGUGAUUGAGGCAAAUGCACCGAUAAUUUGGGGUCAGGGAGAACACUUGUCUGAAUUACACAGAAAAUGUUUUCAUAACCUUCAACUUUUUAAUCACAGAAACAUGCACUAAUAUGCAAAACAAGUGUGACAGAAUCAUGGGAUAAAAGUAUUUACUUGAAAGGUCUAAAAUAUCAUCAAAGUCUACCAUCUACCCAAUAUUUUAAUUCAUAUCAUACAAUUCCUAUCAGGAGGUUACCUAAUGAUGAGGACGUCACUGCCUCUUACGGAGCAUAUUUCAUCUUUGGGCAGCUCUGAUUAUUCUUUAAAUCUUUCACUGAACACCAGAUGGCCAUCUGAAGUGCUGUGAUACCAUACUUUAAAAAAAAUUGUUCAAGGACACAAAGUUGAUUUGAGAGAAGUUAAUGAAAUUACUACUCUCAGAGCUUCUGCUGAAAAGCACAUUUUCAUUUCUGGCCAAUCUACAGCUUUCUAAAGGGAGUCACUUGAGAAAAUGUCUUAAGGCAAAAAAAAAAAAAAAAAAAAAAAAUCCCAUGGGAGGAAUAAAUGUAUGUGUCUUCUAUAAAAAAAGUUUCCAUCGUUGUUACUUUGUGGUCACCUUGACAAGAACAGUAACCACAAGCAUUCAUUUCAUUCUUUACAUAAUUUUAUUAACUUCAGGCAUGAUGUAUAUAAGCUGCAACUAUCUAUUUAAGCAGAUCUCCAAAAAUAAAAAAUAACACAUAUACCCUUUCACCCAGAAAUUCCACUUCCUGGGAUUCAUUCUUUCUAUUUAAAUAAACCUGACCUUGAGUUAACUCUCUAGUUCUGUUCCCCUGGAAACCUAAUAAAGGUGAAUGUCGACUGUGUUACCAGGUAACAGUACCUAAGAAAAAAAGACCUCCUGAUAUGCCUCUAAACUUGGGACGACUGCAAAUCAACAUGAAUACCUGUUGAAUGUUAGAACAGAAGGUCUGACCAUGGACUCAAGAGCUGACGUUAGGAAUGUCAGCACCAUCCUGCUCUCCAAGGACUCCUCAUCUUCAACAGACUCCUCAUCUUCAAAGGAAAGGGUGGAAACUGCAACUUGUGCCAUGAUCCCUGCGUGAGAAAAGUAGUAAGAAAUCCUACCCGACCAUAGAAUGUUAGAACAGAAGGUCUCACCGUGGACUCAAGAGCUGACAUGAAGAAUGUCACCACCAUCCUGCUCUCCAAGGACUCCUCAUCUUCAAUGGACUCCUCAUCUUCAACGGACUCCUCAUCUACAACGGGCAGGGUGGAAACUGCAACUUGUGCCAUGAUCCCUGCGCAAGAAAAGUAGUAAGAAAUUGAGUGGUAGAAAUCCAGUGUCCUAAACUCACAUCCAGAGCUGUGAGAGUUUUUCACAGGCUGGCUAAUUCAGAGUUUUCUUGCAUCAGAGGAAAAGUAAGACUCGGAAACUUGGUAUUCGAUUUGCCCAAAACUCUCAUUAGAUAGAGAAUCCAUCCGCUAACUUUCUAUCUAGUAUUAUUUCCAUAAAGUUAGAUCAAUAUCACUCCCAAAAUAAAUCCACGUGGCAACCAGAAUCAGUGCAUUUCUCCCAAGUACAAGAGGAGGUGGCCGAGCGUGGUGGUUCACGCCUGUAAUCCCAGCACUUUUGGAGGCCGAGGAGGGUGC
RNAcentral lists this long non-coding RNA (2256 nucleotides) under Homo sapiens (human). RNAcentral's name for it is "HSALNT0353771". The record is from RNAcentral. Lineage: Eukaryota; Metazoa; Chordata; Mammalia; Primates; Hominidae.